This 331-nucleotide long non-coding RNA is filed under the name Oryza brachyantha (malo sina). RNAcentral describes it as "long non-coding RNA (OBRA_LNC002467)". The record is from RNAcentral. Lineage: Eukaryota; Viridiplantae; Streptophyta; Magnoliopsida; Poales; Poaceae.
UAUAACUGGUCGGUGCAUACAAAUUAACACUAUUGCUCUCGCCUCUUGCCACCACCCAUCAACUAUUUAUUCAUCCAAUUGCUCACCAGAGAUCCAUCAUCAGCAUGGCAACCACGUUGAUAAUAAGAACACCCCCAUCCUCACCUCACCUAAAUGGCAUGUGCAAGGUUUUGAGAGUGACACACACCACACCCUCCAUGGUUUCUUCUUCCAAGUUCUGCAUCUCUUGCCACAUUCACACUCUAUAGCUAAAGAAUUAUCCAGAUUCAUGGGCAGAUCUAUAUGGUUGGUUUGGUUUAAGGCCUAAACAUGUCUUACCAAUUUUUAGUCA